This is a long non-coding RNA of Cyprinus carpio carpio, 638 nucleotides long. NCBI's taxonomy places the organism in Eukaryota, Metazoa, Chordata, Actinopteri, Cypriniformes, Cyprinidae. The record is from Ensembl.
AUAAACUUGUUUUUUUGUUUGUUUGUUGUUUGCAGAAUUUAUUAAUCUGUUAAUUUUAUAAAAAUUCUAUUACUUAUGUUUAUGCAUUAUACAUUAAUGUUUAUUUAUACAUCUUGAAAUGUUGCAAAUGUAUUAGAAUAUGUAGAAAUAACAUGAACUUAGAUUAAUAAAUUCUGUAAAAGUAUUGUUCAUGGUUAGUUGGUGACAUCUAAAGCACUAAUUAACAUUAACAAACUGAAUUUUACUGUAAAGUGUUACCUAUUGUUUAAUCGUUUCUUUUUUUUUAAAUUAGUUUUUCAAAGAAGACACUGGUGCCUAUGAAAGAAGCCACAAGUACAACAGUGAAGGUACAACAGGACACUGGUCCUGUUUGGCAGCAUGUGUACAGUGUUUUUCACUCCGACUCUUCUAGUUUGUCUCAUAGGGCAGAAGGUGGACGGUGCACUCGAUAGCUUUUGGUCAUCACGUGCUCCCCCCUCCUUACUGAAAAAAUGUCUGCGCCUGAUAUGGGUUAUUGUACGGUACAAUUCUCUGAAAUACUUCAAGAGAAGGUCCUGAGAUAGUGUUUUUUUUUCCUGAAAGAGGCUUUAGCUCUUCUCAGACUGUAUUUGUCAUGCUUUUUAUGAUCUUGUUUUGGG